Molecule: ribosomal RNA, 1364 nt
Filed under: uncultured beta proteobacterium
Lineage: Bacteria; Pseudomonadati; Pseudomonadota; Betaproteobacteria
Description: 16S ribosomal RNA
Rfam family: Bacterial small subunit ribosomal RNA
Source: RNAcentral
UGAACGCUGGCGGCAUGCCUUACACAUGCAAGUCGAACGGCAGCACGGGUGCUUGCACCUGGUGGCGAGUGGCGAACGGGUGAGUAAUACAUCGGAACAUGUCCUGUAGUGGGGGAUAGCCCGGCGAAAGCCGGAUUAAUACCGCAUACGAUCUACGGAUGAAAGCGGGGGACCUUCGGGCCUCGCGCUAUAGGGUUGGCCGAUGGCUGAUUAGCUAGUUGGUGGGGUAAAGGCCUACCAAGGCGACGAUCAGUAGCUGGUCUGAGAGGACGACCAGCCACACUGGGACUGAGACACGGCCCAGACUCCUACGGGAGGCAGCAGUGGGGAAUUUUGGACAAUGGGCGAAAGCCUGAUCCAGCAAUGCCGCGUGUGUGAAGAAGGCCUUCGGGUUGUAAAGCACUUUUGUCCGGAAAGAAAUCCUUGGCUCUAAUACAGUCGGGGGAUGACGGUACCGGAAGAAUAAGCACCGGCUAACUACGUGCCAGCAGCCGCGGUAAUACGUAGGGUGCGAGCGUUAAUCGGAAUUACUGGGCGUAAAGCGUGCGCAGGCGGUUUGCUAAGACCGAUGUGAAAUCCCCGGGCUCAACCUGGGAACUGCAUUGGUGACUGGCAGGCUAGAGUAUGGCAGAGGGGGGUAGAAUUCCACGUGUAGCAGUGAAAUGCGUAGAGAUGUGGAGGAAUACCGAUGGCGAAGGCAGCCCCCUGGGCCAAUACUGACGCUCAUGCACGAAAGCGUGGGGAGCAAACAGGAUUAGAUACCCUGGUAGUCCACGCCCUAAACGAUGUCAACUAGUUGUUGGGGAUUCAUUUCCUUAGUAACGUAGCUAACGCGUGAAGUUGACCGCCUGGGGAGUACGGUCGCAAGAUUAAAACUCAAAGGAAUUGACGGGGACCCGCACAAGCGGUGGAUGAUGUGGAUUAAUUCGAUGCAACGCGAAAAACCUUACCUACCCUUGACAUGGUCGGAAUCCCGCUGAGAGGUGGGAGUGCUCGAAAGAGAACCGGCGCACAGGUGCUGCAUGGCUGUCGCCAGCUCGUGUCGUGAGAUGUUGGGUUAAGUCCCGCAACGAGCGCAACCCUUGUCCUUAGUUGCUACGCAAGAGCACUCUAAGGAGACUGCCGGUGACAAACCGGAGGAAGGUGGGGAUGACGUCAAGUCCUCAUGGCCCUUAUGGGUAGGGCUUCACACGUCAUACAAUGGUCGGAACAGAGGGUUGCCAACCCGCGAGGGGGAGCUAAUCCCAGAAAACCGAUCGUAGUCCGGAUUGCACUCUGCAACUCGAGUGCAUGAAGCUGGAAUCGCUAGUAAUCGCGGAUCAGCAUGCCGCGGUGAAUACGUUCCCGGGUCUUGUACUCACCGC